AAUAAAAGGGCAAAAUCAGAUUUUAUUGUCAUAUAGAUGUGCCCUAUGGUGCCCACCUCUGGACUUAUGUAGGCAGAAGAGAAGAUGCAAAGAAAGACGUGGAAUAGCUGAGGUUUGAAACUAUGUGGACUACACUCAGAACCAGGAAAGGCAGCAUCCAAACGAGUGGCCAUUAAGAUACCUUUAGACUGGAACUCCCUCACUUUGAAGAAACCAAACACAAUUUCAGCCAUAAUGCAUUGGGGAUUCUGUGUUCAGUUACAGUGGAAUGACACCUUGAGGCAUAUUUAAGCUGCCAGUCUAUAUAGCACAUUCAUGAGGAGGAGGAAACUGCUGUCCUGUUAUCUAUGGAAAAUAUGACCAAUUCCAUUGCAAUGAUAUCGAGAACCAG
Gorilla gorilla gorilla (western lowland gorilla) is the source of this 391-nucleotide long non-coding RNA. RefSeq lists it as uncharacterized. The transcript is spliced from 4 exons. NCBI's taxonomy places the organism in Eukaryota, Metazoa, Chordata, Mammalia, Primates, Hominidae. The record is from RefSeq and is a predicted model, not a curated record.